GCCGGGCGUGGUGGCUCACGCCUGUAAUCCCAGCACUUUGGGAGGCUGAGGCGGGUGAAUCACCUGAGGUCAGGAGUUCGAGACCAGCCUGACCAACAUGGUGAAACCCCAUCUCUA
Macaca fascicularis (crab-eating macaque) is the source of this 117-nucleotide unclassified non-coding RNA. It matches the Rfam family "Metazoan signal recognition particle RNA". Rfam says of the family: The signal recognition particle (SRP) is a universally conserved ribonucleoprotein. It is involved in the co-translational targeting of proteins to membranes. The eukaryotic SRP consists of a 300-nucleotide 7S RNA and six proteins: SRPs 72, 68, 54, 19, 14, and 9. NCBI's taxonomy places the organism in Eukaryota, Metazoa, Chordata, Mammalia, Primates, Cercopithecidae. The record is from Ensembl.